UACGUAGGGGGCAAGCGUUGUCCGGAAUCAUUGGGCGUAAAGAGCGUGUAGGCGGCUCGAUAAGUCUGCUGUGAAAGUCCAGGGCUCAACCCUGGAAGGCCGGUGGAAACUGUCGGGCUAGAGUCCGGAAGAGGCGAGUGGAACUCCCGGUGUAGCGGUGAAAUGCGCAGAUAUCGGGAGGAACACCAAUGGCGAAGGCAGCUCGCUGGGACGGUACUGACGCUGAGACGCGAAAGCGUGGGGAGCAAACAGG
RNAcentral lists this ribosomal RNA (253 nucleotides) under uncultured bacterium. Its description in RNAcentral is "partial 16S ribosomal RNA". It matches the Rfam family "Bacterial small subunit ribosomal RNA", at positions 524 to 776 of the family's 1533-position model. The record is from RNAcentral.